CAAGCAUAUUUGUACAUGUCUUGGUCUGUUUCCUGUUGCUACAGCAAAAACCUGAGUCUGGGUACACUAUAAAGAAAUGUUGAUUCAGCUCAAGGAUUUGGAAGCUGAAAGUCCAAGACAGGGUGGCUCCACCGACUCAGUCUCUGAUGAGGGCCUCCCGGGAGCGUCACAAUAUGGUGGGCGGGAUCAGGACGUGGGGCACGAGCCCAGAGCGAGAAAGGAAUCUGCAAAGUGGAGCAGAGGCAGCCUGCUCUUCUGUGACAGCGCGUUCUCACCAGGACGAGCUCACUUUCAGAUCAGCAUUGCCUGCUUCUGAGGGCAGCUCCCCAAACGACCGAAUUAUGGUGCACCUUCCUCAGAGCCUCCUUUGCUAAGAGUUCCUCCAUCUCUCAAAGCCUCCACACUGGGCACCCAACUUUCCACACGCACACCCUUGGGGAACCAACUACAUCCAAACUGUCGCAAUAUGUGUGUUCUUGUACACUACGGUUUUCGUUUCCGAAGCGGAAGAUUCUCAAAGAUUGCGUCGGUGGUGAAGGAGGCGUGGGCAUUCUGAGUGUUAACCCGAAAGGACAGAUGCUGUGUGACACCACCUGGGGACACUCACUCGCUCUGCACACCUCGACGGCCUGGAAGUCCAUUCAUCCCAUCCAAAAGAGGACCCAAAGUCUUUGAAUAUGGAUUUAAGAAGCGGAACACAGCUCUGCUUCACACCAUCCGAACAGCCAUCUGCUCUUCAGAAGGGCAGUGUUUCCCGCUCUGACUCUGGAAUCGAAAUUGAAACAGUUUUCUGAAAGAAUGUCGAAAG
Molecule: long non-coding RNA, 808 nt
Filed under: Heterocephalus glaber (naked mole-rat)
Lineage: Eukaryota; Metazoa; Chordata; Mammalia; Rodentia; Bathyergidae
Description: lncRNA (ENSHGLG00000037785.1)
Source: RNAcentral